This is a long non-coding RNA of Apis mellifera (honey bee), 454 nucleotides long. RefSeq lists it as uncharacterized. The transcript has 4 exons. NCBI's taxonomy places the organism in Eukaryota, Metazoa, Arthropoda, Insecta, Hymenoptera, Apidae. The record is from RefSeq and is a predicted model, not a curated record.
GCAAAGGGACGUAUCGCCGAUUCGAGAUGUAUAAAUUAUGCCUAUAAAGUGUGUUUUUUUGUGUUUUGUUAUUAAAUUAUUGUGUGUUCAUCUUGUUUAAUAAUCUGCUCAACAAUAGUGAAGAUUAUCUUUUAAUAACGAGGAUGUCUUUGGAUUUGCAUUCGAUGUAUUUGGAGCUAUGACGUCAUCGAACAAUUCUACGACGCAAUUCGAAAUAUUUUCUAUAAAUCAGAUUAUCUUUUAUUAACGAGGAUGUCUUUGGAUUUGCAUUCGAUGUAUUUGCAGCUAUGACGUCAUCGAACGAUUCUACGACGCAAUUCGAAAUAUUUUCUAUAAAUCAGAAUAAUUGGUAGCAUCGUCAUAGGAUUCGAAGGCUGAAAAAUACCAAUAUGGAUGUCAUGGAAACGCGGUAAAAUUUGAAAUCUCGUUCGUAUACGUUUUUAUUUUGUCAUUA